UUAAUCACUUUGGGUUGCCUAUUUUGUUACCACAAGAUCACCUUGACAAGCAAUCAAUAUAAGUAACUUCCUCACCUCAAACGACAAAAUGAAGUUUAUCGUGGUUUGCGCAAUUUUCCUGUGUCCUAUUUACGCAUCAGUAUGCCAACCAAAUGUUUGCUCCACCUACGAUUGCAGCAACGAACCUCGUUCUUGUGAAGGGGGACAAGUUUUAUCUAAAGGAGCUUGUGGCUGCUGUAACAUGUGUGUUACAUAUUUGAAUGAGGGGCAGUAUUGUCUACGUUUAGGCAUAGGAGAUCCACCACUAAGUGUUCAGUGUGAUCCCCAAUUGGAAUGUGUAAACAAUAGGUGUCAAAAAAUUUAACAAUAUUGUAAUAGUAAUGAUAAUAUGUCAGUAUAUUAUUAUAUUUUUGUUACAAUAAAUAUUUAAAAAUUUAUUACUCAAA
Molecule: long non-coding RNA, 446 nt
Organism: Aethina tumida (small hive beetle)
Lineage: Eukaryota; Metazoa; Arthropoda; Insecta; Coleoptera; Nitidulidae
Exons: 2
Source: RefSeq, a predicted model, not a curated record